GGGGAAUCUUGGACAAUGGGCGCAAGCCUGAUCCAGCCAUGCCGCGUGGAUGAUGAAGGCCCUAGGGUUGUAAAAUCCUUUCGUUGGGGACGAUAAUGACGGUACCCAAAGAAGAAGCUCCGGCUAACUUCGUGCCAGCAGCCGCGGUAAUACGAAGGGGGCUAGCGUUGUUCGGAUUUACUGGGCGUAAAGCGCGUGUAGGCGGGCUGGAAAGUUGGGGGUGAAAUCCCGAGGCUCAACCUCGGAACUGCCUCCAAAACUUCCAGCCUGGACUCAAGUAGAGGCAAGUGGAAUUGCGAGUGUAGAGGUGAAAUUCGUAGAUAUUCGCAGGAACACCAGUGGCGAAGGCGACUUGCUGGACUUGUAGUGACGCUGAGACGCGAAAGCGUGGGGAGCAAAC
Molecule: ribosomal RNA, 400 nt
Filed under: uncultured bacterium
Lineage: Bacteria
Description: bacterial SSU rRNA
Rfam family: Bacterial small subunit ribosomal RNA
Source: RNAcentral